UGGAAAAAAUGGGUCGAUAUUUUCUGCAAAUGCCACUCAUAUCAAUGCUAUAAAUAACAGGAUAAAUUGUUUGUAGUCAAUCACAUAUAUAUCUCUUCAUCACUAUCAAACUAGUAUUUUUUUAAGAUUUAUCGUAGAAAUGGCUCAGAUAUAUCCUUUUCGUCCUAACAGCAGCAGGAUAGAAUUAGCAAGGCCGGUAAUUAGCUUCUAUUUGAAUAGAGAGUUUGAAAGUGAUGAUGACGACGAUGAUGAUGGAGCAAAAGUGGCACCCGCGGCAUAACUUCUUCUUAUUCAAAAGCCGUCGGUGCUGCUGCGCGCGUUUCGGGGCGAUUCAAAAUUAUCUGAACGAUUCUUCCAUUCCGUGAAGGCCGAUCUCGAACGCUAUAGGUGUGGGAGCGAUCUUGAUCAAAGAAGGCUAAGACAGCUAUUUCAACUGCAUUCCUUAUUACAAAGAAAUCAACCUCGAUUCUUUCCGUUGAUAUCUGUAUUAAAUAGAGUGUUUUAAAAAAAAAAUAUUUAAGUCUUUCUUAGUACUC
Molecule: long non-coding RNA, 536 nt
Organism: Solanum dulcamara
Lineage: Eukaryota; Viridiplantae; Streptophyta; Magnoliopsida; Solanales; Solanaceae
Exons: 2
Source: RefSeq, a predicted model, not a curated record